GGCGCGAAAACUUUACAAUGCUGGCAACAGCGAUAAGGGAACCUCGAGUGCCAGGUUACAAAUCUGGCUGUCGAGAUGCCUAAAAAGCAUUUCAUAGCAAGGGCCGGGCAAGACCGGUGCCAGCCGCCGCGGUAACACCGGCGGCUCGAGUGGUAACCGUUAUUAUUGGGUCUAAAGGGUCUGUAGCCGGCCGGAUAAGUCUCUUGAGAAAUCUGGCAGCUUAACUGUCAGGCUUUCAGGUGAUACUGUCUGGCUCGAGGCCGGGAGAGGUGAGAGGUACUUCAGGGGUAGUGGUGAAAUCAUGUAAUCCUUGAAGGACCACCAGUGGCGAAGGCGUCUCACCAGAACGGACCUGACGGCAAGGGACGAAAGCCAGGGGCACGAACCGGAUUAGAAACCCGUGUAGUCC
Molecule: ribosomal RNA, 409 nt
Filed under: uncultured bacterium
Lineage: Bacteria
Description: partial 16S ribosomal RNA
Rfam family: Archaeal small subunit ribosomal RNA
Source: RNAcentral